Lycium ferocissimum is the source of this 2680-nucleotide long non-coding RNA. RefSeq lists it as uncharacterized. The record is from RefSeq and is a predicted model, not a curated record. The transcript is spliced from 3 exons. NCBI's taxonomy places the organism in Eukaryota, Viridiplantae, Streptophyta, Magnoliopsida, Solanales, Solanaceae.
GCUGCCAUAGCAUGGACGACCAAUGGAAAACCUGUAAUUAAGCUGAUUAUGCAAGGGUAAAUGAUAAAUGUGUCGGCUUCUGGAUCAUUCUUCACAUUUCUUUCUUAGUCCGUCGAACUGUUAUCACCAGCUUCAUCUGCGUAUUGACAAGUUUAAUCUGAAACGGUUAUCAUCAAGUCAGAUUUAGCUACCAAUCACCCAUAAAAUCCCAAAAUUAACCUUAUAGUGUUUUAAAACUUUACAGCAGCUUAUAAUAUACUACAUCUACUUGAUAUUGAGUGGAGAUCGUGACAUUUUCCUACCAAAGAUUGAGAUUUGCUUUGUGAAGGCUUUGUUGAUCAGUGAACUAUACACAUUGAGAGAGUUCAGGACUUUAAAAUCUCCAUUCAAAGCUUAAAUUAAUUCUCAUACUAGAAUGUAAGCACAUCUAACUUAAGUAGAUGAAUUGAGGAGGAGAAAGGCUCAAUUAAUGUCGUGUAAUAGUCAACUUACUAUAGUAAUUUUUUUAAGUGUUUUCUUUCAAAGGCACAAAGAGAGAGGUGAGCAAAAAGACAAUUUUCUCUUUAGUGCUUUAGGAAAUAAUUCCUGCACCUACAUAUUUUAUUGAAAUUUCUAUAAAAAAAACCUAUAUUGUUCUAUUCGUUAACUUUUAUAUUCUUCUAUCUGUUAGCUUAACAGAAAUUAAGAAGGAAAAGAAAUUUUGAAUAUCCAACUAAACGUGGCGGGGUGAAUGGUUUUAGUUCUAUAUAGUCUGGUAGGAUUGUAUUAGUUGCAAAAAACUUCAGAAAAUGCUUCUUUAGCAAGUUUUUAGUCUCCAACUCGUGAGAAGUGUUUGGCAUUGGCUAUAUCAAAGAUAUGUUUAUAAGCUGAUUAUCAAAGUAUGGAUCACUAUUCCAAACAAAAAAUUGAUAUUUGCUUAACAAUGGAUUUUUUUUUUUCUUUUCAUGAAAGUUGUAAUGUUCUCAUUAUGAGAAUUUUGACGUAUUUCAAUUGUGAUAUCUGUGUUAUUAAAACUGAAUGUAUGUUCAUAGUCAGUUUAUGUGUCUAAACAUGUCGGCAUUUGAUUAGCUUGUAGGAUUCACACUGCAUUGGAUUUUGAGAAAUCUAAGUAGUAUAGAUAUUUAUACAACAUCCACUACUUUAUUUUCUUGGCUGUGAGAUAAAGAUGACAACAAAAGGAAAUCAAGUAUUAUGAAACAGAUUAAACAGCACCUGAACGUUUACUUUGAAUAGAUUUAGAAAUUAGACCUCAAAGCUCGGGUACCUUACAAUUAUUCUUGAGAAAUUAUAUCCAAUUUCUUGACUGAACAUCUAUAGCUAAGUUGUAUAUUAUAUGAAAUUCUUCAUAUUCCUCCAUCUUGAUCACGUGUUUCAUAUCUCUUUGUGUUCUAUUCUGAACAUUUUGGCAUGGCUAUGAUUGUAAUUGUUAAAAAAGACAGUGGCAGGAUCUAUACUUAUUUCAUAUUGAAUUCAAUUACCAUUAUAGGGUAAUGAUGGAUAGCAACAAUUAUACUGAAUUUGGAGUAAAUAUGACAUAUGGAGCUCAUGUAUACUUGACAGCGUGGUUGGUCAGUUGAAUAACCCUGAAUUCGCUUCGUAAUGUGGUGAGAGCAUAAAUAUCGUUCGGAUAAGGAGAUAUGGAGUUACUCAGCUAUCGUUUAAAAAGAUAAUACGGUCUCGUGAAAUGACAUCUGGAUAUGCUGAGAAGGAGCUUGCAAUAGAGGCAACUGCAUUGUACAUUCCUGUGGAGUAGGAUCAUCUGAACCUUUAUGUUUGGUGCUUCUUUAUUAUUCAAGCUAUCUACAGGAUUGCAUAAAAAGUGAACGAUUCUAUCAUGAUAUACUUAUCAAAAAGAAAAGAAAAAAGUAGUAUGUCCAAGUGUAUAUUUAUUUUGCAACACCUUGAUCAAUAUAUAUAUGCUAAGUGAGGGAACCUGAUUAAGAUUUACACUAUCUAAAAUGGGGAAGGAAGAGACUUUUUGGUUGCUUUGUAUGUUAUGAUAGGAGGUUCGGGUAUGCAUGGAUAUAUAUGUGGAAACCGGACACCUGAGCUUUUCUCUAUGAUGAAGCAAGAAGGAUUUAUGACUGAUUCGCAACUCGGACUGUCAUGCAUACGAGGGUCGGGUAUGCAUGGAUAUAUAUGUGGAAAUCGGACACCUGAGCUUUUCUCUAUGAUGAAGCAAGAAGGAUUUAUGACUGAUUAAGUAGAAACUGAUUGGCAACUCGGGCUGUCAUGCAGGCAUAAUGGACAAAGGAGUUAAUGGAUUCUGUGAGGAAGGUUUAUACUGCUAUUUUGAAUAAAACAUCAUAGUUCUCUGACUCAUCUUCUACUCCCAGUGGCUGUAUAGGAGAAACAUUUCAGCUUGUGUGUAAAAUGACAGAUGAACCAAAGAGUACUAAAUAUGGUAUUCUCUUUUAAGGGUUGCUUGAUGCAUCAUGAUGUUGGAACUUCCGGAUGAGGUGCUCAAAACUUCCGCUUUUAAAUAAGGAACCAACAGAGACUAAGAUAGUGUCUCUAAUCAAAUGUAUGUUGAUGAGACAAUCUUGCUCAGAAACCUGAAGCUUUUUUAUAUGGAUGCUAACCAAUUCCACAGUCUAAUUCCCUUUCGAGCUUUAUAAUUUGUCAAAAACUAUCAAAUUUUUUAUAGUGUUUUCUAUAGUAUGUUGCCAUUCCUUUUUGU